GUCGUGCUGCUCCGCGGGAGCGAAGGCCUCCCAGGGGCCAGGAGCCCGCUCGGGUUUUCCUAGCUGUCGAUGGCGCUCGAGGCGGGUGUGACCCCCUCAUUCGCCCGCGCUACCCGACUGAUGGCGCUCUGUGGCUGUGGGAGCCGGGAACUAAGUGCCUGAGGUCUGGGAUUAAAAGUAUUUGCCUUCACUCCUGGUUUAUGAAGUCACAGAUUUGGAGAAAGCUAGAGACACCCCACAGAAGGGACUAAUCCGUUACGACAGUCUCAGGCCAGGAAGAGCGCCAACGGGACGAGCAACGCCCCCGCCCCCUCCCGGUAAGGAGGACGACGAAAAAAGCGUGGCACGCCACCAGCAGCGAAAGCAAGCAUCGAAGGGCUACACACACCACGGUCCUCCAAACCCUUUGUCUGAAAAAACCGGAAGGUCUCCCGACACACGCUCCCGUCCGGAGGAACCCGGACUGUUCCCAUCAGAGCAGAGAAACGCGAGGGGGGGGGGGGGGGGUGACCGACGGAAUCAGGAUACCCAGCGGCACCGCACAAAGCUGGGCCCAGGAGGCUCUCGUACAAAAAGGAGGGAAAAAAAAAACCC
Molecule: long non-coding RNA, 594 nt
Organism: Mesocricetus auratus (golden hamster)
Lineage: Eukaryota; Metazoa; Chordata; Mammalia; Rodentia; Cricetidae
Exons: 3
Source: RefSeq, a predicted model, not a curated record